UUAUUAACUCUUUUUUCAAACAUCCAUAGUUGAUCUUUCAGCUUCAUCACCCUUGAAGAUAAUCCCUUUAUGACUCUGCUUUGCCAUUUAAAUUUUUUCUCAUCUCAUACCAGUCAUCUUCUGUACGAUCUUCAGUCUGAGCUAGCCUUUCUGUUGCUCUCCUCUUGUGGUCAAAAGUUCUCUUCAGCUUGCUAAGUUGAGAAGUAUAGUUAACUCUUGGUGGGGUUCCAGCUUCUACUUCUUCAUCAACAUCCAUGUUCUGAAUUCCAAAAUUCUGAACUCCUGUUGUUGAUUUCCCUGAAGCUUCU
RNAcentral lists this small RNA (308 nucleotides) under Arabidopsis thaliana (thale cress). RNAcentral describes it as "ATSL094330". The record is from RNAcentral. Lineage: Eukaryota; Viridiplantae; Streptophyta; Magnoliopsida; Brassicales; Brassicaceae.